RNAcentral lists this ribosomal RNA (468 nucleotides) under uncultured bacterium. Its description in RNAcentral is "partial 16S ribosomal RNA". It matches the Rfam family "Bacterial small subunit ribosomal RNA", at positions 28 to 507 of the family's 1533-position model. The record is from RNAcentral.
GACGAACGCUGGCGGCGUGCUUAACACAUGCAAGUCGAACGGGAAGGCCCUGCUUUUGUGGGGUGCUCGAGUGGCGAACGGGUGAGUAACACGUGAGUAACCUGCCCUUGACUUUGAGAUAACUUCAGGAAACUGGGGCUAAUACCGGAUAGGAGCUCCUGCUGCAUGGUGGGGGUUGGAAAGUUUCGGCGGUUGGGGAUGGACUCGCGGCUUAUCAGCUUGUUGGUGGGGUAGUGGCUUACCAAGGCUUUGACGGGUAGCCGGCCUGAGAGGGUGACCGGCCACAUUGGGACUGAGAUACGGCCCAGACUCCUACGGGAGGCAGCAGUGGGGAAUAUUGCACAAUGGGCGGAAGCCUGAUGCAGCAACGCCGCGUGCGGGAUGACGGCCUUCGGGUUGUAAACCGCUUUCGCCUGUGACGAAGCGUGAGUGACGGUAAUGGGUAAAGAAGCACCGGCUAACUACGUG